UGCUUCUUGCGCAGAAUGAUCCCGUCGGCCAUGUUGAGUCGAAGUAUACGCGCUGCUCUGUUGACAUCCUGAGCGAGGAAGUCUAACAGCUGGUUUUUAGUCAUUGCUACUUCAGUUCUCAUAUUACAAGGUGUUUGUAUCGAAUCUGCUUCCAAGCUGGAUAGGCUACCAGAAUAUCUUCGGGACACCGUCGACUGGUUUAUGGGGUACGUUCAGGUUCUUGUCCUUGUUCCAGAGCUCUAUUAUAGUCUGUACGGCAACAUGCUAGAUUUUAAAUCUGUCACAAGAAUCGAAUCGGGAAAGAAACUAGGAUGAAUACAAUUUAAAAUAGUGCUGAAAAUUGUAGGACAGAAAUAUCUUGGAAUAAAUAAACACAUAAUAAAAAAAAA
Molecule: long non-coding RNA, 389 nt
Organism: Stegodyphus dumicola
Lineage: Eukaryota; Metazoa; Arthropoda; Arachnida; Araneae; Eresidae
Gene: Mob2
Source: RefSeq, a predicted model, not a curated record